GCUAUAUGUCACGGACCUAGUUUCGUUACACCCGAACAACUAGAACCGUGCGGCCUUAACGCUUGACAAUUCCCGCACCUCACGAGAAAACGUUAAGUCAGCCUUUUCACGCUCACAAAUAAUUUAACCAAGGAGGCUAAAUUAUACCCACGUUGAGAGGAGAAUUUUGAAGUAAAGGAUAUAUGAAAAACAAGUAAGGUCGGGAAACUUUCUUUGUAUAUAUGAAAGGGAAAACUUUACAAUCUCUCUAAGGAAUAAAUUCACUCAACUCUACAUGAUUUACAAAUGAGAUUUCUACCUCUAUUUAUAGGCAAAA
RNAcentral lists this long non-coding RNA (316 nucleotides) under Olea europaea (common olive). RNAcentral describes it as "long non-coding RNA (OEUR_LNC006789)". Lineage: Eukaryota; Viridiplantae; Streptophyta; Magnoliopsida; Lamiales; Oleaceae. The record is from RNAcentral.